This is a long non-coding RNA of Papaver somniferum (opium poppy), 969 nucleotides long. RefSeq lists it as uncharacterized. The transcript has 2 exons. Lineage: Eukaryota; Viridiplantae; Streptophyta; Magnoliopsida; Ranunculales; Papaveraceae. The record is from RefSeq and is a predicted model, not a curated record.
AAAAUGAAUAUGUUCUAUGAUGAAUACAAAAUGAAAGAUUUUAUGCAUGCAAUGCAAUAUGGAAUGAAUGCAGAAUGGAAUAUGGAUUCGGAUAUACUACAAAAUUAGUAAAACAGGAUGAAAGAAAUUUGGAUUCGGAUUUCUUGCUAGCAAAAAGGAUCGAUUGAAACGAGACUAGGAGAAUGUUGAUGAUUUUACCCCUUUCUUGGAUCCCCAUCUGGCUUAGGGUCGAAUUCCAAAGAAGGAAAUCUACUCAGAAGUACAGUCGUUAGAAAAGAAGAAAAGAGAUUGAAAAACAGGAUGAAGAAAUAUAAUCGUUAGAAUAGGAGAGAGGGCGGAGCGUUUGUUGACCUGCAAAAAAAAAAACUGAUAUAUAUUGCUAAACCUCUAUUACAUAGAGGAAAUCAGAUAGCACCUCUGGAGUCUGGACUGCUAUCUUUGAGACAAACUACUAUUUUUCUAUGAAAUGUCCAUAUCACCCUCUAACAAAUCUAAUUUUGACAGUUUUUUUGUGCAUCACCAAAACAAAGCCUAAAAUCGUUUCCACCUUUUCAUUUUCUUCUCUCGGCUGCUUUCCAUUCUCUCUGAACUCAUGGAGAGAUUGUCUCUCUGGAACUUCGAUCAGCGAAGAGUUUUAUUUAUUUUUGAAGAUUUCGUCUCCGGAUUAGUUAAAUCUCAUCAAUUUUUUGAUAUUUAUAGUUUGGUUAAUCCCGGCAGUUGACAUAAAAUUUCUUGGAUCUCUUAGUAGAGAUGAUUUAAAGAAGAUCUAUGGUGACAAUUAUCCUGAAUGGAUAUCUUUCCCUGUGUAAGAUCAGGUUGAUAUUAUGUCUAAAAUUCAUCUUCUUGUUCCUUUUAUCUUUUGUGUUGUCAUUGGUAUUCAUAAUUGAUGAGGAAGGUGAGGGUGAACAUCACGUUUCUUAGUUGAUUUUAUUGAUUGCUAGUAUAUGUCCAUUCUCCUUGUUAGCUGCA